This is a non-coding RNA of Caenorhabditis elegans, 21 nucleotides long. The record is from Ensembl. NCBI's taxonomy places the organism in Eukaryota, Metazoa, Nematoda, Chromadorea, Rhabditida, Rhabditidae.
UGACCCGCAAUGAUUUCUCCA